ACGCUCGACACCUACGGGAGCAGCAGUCGGGAAUAUUGCGCAAUGGAGGAAACUCUGACGCAGUGACGCCGCGUAUAGGAAGAAGGUUUUCGGAUUGUAAACUAUUGUCGUUAGGGAAGAAAAAGGACAGUACCUAAGGAGGAAGCUCCGGCUAACUACGUGCCACAGCCGCGGUAAUCUGAGCGGGCUGGCAAGGC
Molecule: ribosomal RNA, 197 nt
Filed under: uncultured bacterium
Lineage: Bacteria
Description: partial 16S ribosomal RNA
Rfam family: Bacterial small subunit ribosomal RNA
Source: RNAcentral